GAUCCCUACGGGAGGCAGCAGUAGGGAAUCUUCCACAAUGGACGAAAGUCUGAUGCAGCAACGCCGCGUGAAGGAAGACGGUUUUCGGAUUGUAAACUUCUAUCAAUAGGGAAGAAAGAAAUGACGGUACCUAAAUAAGAAGCCCCGGCUAACUACGUGCCAGCAGCCGCGGUAAUACGUAGGGGGCAAGCGUUAUCCGGAAUUACUGGGUGUAAAGGGAGAGUAGGCGGCAAGGUAAGCGAUAUGUGAAAGCCUUAGGCUUAACCAAAGGAUUGCAUAACGAACUAUCUAGCUAGAGUACAGGA
Molecule: ribosomal RNA, 305 nt
Filed under: uncultured bacterium
Lineage: Bacteria
Description: bacterial SSU rRNA
Rfam family: Bacterial small subunit ribosomal RNA
Source: RNAcentral